Molecule: ribosomal RNA, 1381 nt
Filed under: uncultured bacterium
Lineage: Bacteria
Description: bacterial SSU rRNA
Rfam family: Bacterial small subunit ribosomal RNA
Source: RNAcentral
CCUGGCUCAGGAUGAACGCUAGCUACAGGCUUAACACAUGCAAGUCGAGGGGCAGCAUGGUCUUAGCUUGCUAAGGCCGAUGGCGACCGGCGCACGGGUGAGUAACACGUAUCCAACCUGCCGUCUACUCUUGGACAGCCUUCUGAAAGGAAGAUUAAUACAAGAUGGCAUCAUGAGUCCGCAUGUUCACAUGAUUAAAGGUAUUCCGGUAGACGAUGGGGAUGCGUUCCAUUAGAUAGUAGGCGGGGUAACGGCCCACCUAGUCUUCGAUGGAUAGGGGUUCUGAGAGGAAGGUCCCCCACAUUGGAACUGAGACACGGUCCAAACUCCUACGGGAGGCAGCAGUGAGGAAUAUUGGUCAAUGGGCGAGAGCCUGAACCAGCCAAGUAGCGUGAAGGAUGACUGCCCUAUGGGUUGUAAACUUCUUUUAUAAAGGAAUAAAGUCGGGUAUGGAUACCCGUUUGCAUGUACUUUAUGAAUAAGGAUCGGCUAACUCCGUGCCAGCAGCCGCGGUAAUACGGAGGAUCCGAGCGUUAUCCGGAUUUAUUGGGUUUAAAGGGAGCGUAGAUGGAUGUUUAAGUCAGUGUGAAAGUUUGCGGCUCAACCGUAAAAUUGCAGUUGAUACUGGAUAUCUUGAGUGCAGUUGAGGCAGGCGGAAUUCGUGGUGUAGCGGUGAAAUGCUUAGAUAUCACGAAGAACUCCGAUUGCGAAGGCAGCCUGCUAAGCUGCAACUGACAUUGAGGCUCGAAAGUGUGGGUAUCAAACAGGAUUAGAUACCCUGGUAGUCCACACGGUAAACGAUGAAUACUCGCUGUUUGCGAUAUACUGCAAGCGGCCAAGCGAAAGCGUUAAGUAUUCCACCUGGGGAGUACGCCGGCAACGGUGAAACUCAAAGGAAUUGACGGGGGCCCGCACAAGCGGAGGAACAUGUGGUUUAAUUCGAUGAUACGCGAGGAACCUUACCCGGGCUUAAAUUGCAGAUGAAUUACGGUGAAAGCCGUAAGCCGCAAGGCAUCUGUGAAGGUGCUGCAUGGUUGUCGUCAGCUCGUGCCGUGAGGUGUCGGCUUAAGUGCCAUAACGAGCGCAACCCUUGUUGUCAGUUACUAACAGGUUCCGCUGAGGACUCUGACAAGACUGCCAUCGUAAGAUGUGAGGAAGGUGGGGAUGACGUCAAAUCAGCACGGCCCUUACGUCCGGGGCUACACACGUGUUACAAUGGGGGGUACAGAGGGCCGCUACCACGCGAGUGGAUGCCAAUCCCCAAAACCUCUCUCAGUUCGGACUGGAGUCUGCAACCCGACUCCACGAAGCUGGAUUCGCUAGUAAUCGCGCAUCAGCCACGGCGCGGUGAAUACGUUCCCGGGCCUUGUACACACCGCCC